This 27-nucleotide non-coding RNA is filed under the name Mus musculus (house mouse). Lineage: Eukaryota; Metazoa; Chordata; Mammalia; Rodentia; Muridae. The record is from RNAcentral.
UACCUGUGACUGUAAGCUCUCGACCUG